RNAcentral lists this ribosomal RNA (440 nucleotides) under uncultured bacterium. RNAcentral describes it as "bacterial SSU rRNA". It matches the Rfam family "Bacterial small subunit ribosomal RNA", at positions 338 to 793 of the family's 1533-position model. The record is from RNAcentral.
CCUACGGGAGGCAGCAGUGGGGAAUUUUCCGCAAUGGGCGAAAGCCUGACGGAGCAACGCCGCGUGGGUGACGAAGGAUUUCGGUCUGUAAAGCCCUUUCAGUCGGGACGAGACGAAGACGGUACCGACAGAAGAAGCAUCGGCUAACUACGUGCCAGCAGCCGCGGUAAGACGUAGGAUGCAAGCGUUGUCCGGAAUUAUUGGGCGUAAAGCGUACGUAGGCGGUUUUCUAAGUCUGGGGUUAAAGACCGAGGCUCAACCUCGGGAGUGCCCUGGAAACUGGAAGGCUGGAGGACGGCAGAGGAAAGUGGAAUUCCCAGUGUAGCGGUGAAAUGCGUAGAUAUUGGGAGGAACACCAGUGGCGAAAGCGACUUUCUGGGCCGUUCCUGACGCUGAGGUACGAAAGCCAGGGGAGCAAACGGGAUUAGAUACCCUGGUAG